Molecule: ribosomal RNA, 700 nt
Filed under: uncultured bacterium
Lineage: Bacteria
Description: bacterial SSU rRNA
Rfam family: Bacterial small subunit ribosomal RNA
Source: RNAcentral
UUUGGUGGCGACCGGCGCACGGGUGCGUAACAGGUGUGCAAUCUGUCCAUAAUCGGGGAAUAGCCCAGCGAAAGUUGGAUUAAUGCUCCAUGUGAGCGAGGGAGGCAUCUCCUUUGUUUGAAACGUAAGGAUUAUGGGUGAGCACGCUUCUGAUUAGGUAGUUGGUGAGGUAACGGCUCACCAAGCCGACGAUCAGUAGGGGUUCUGAGAGGAAGGUCCCCCACAUUGGAACUGAGACACGGUCCAAACUCCUACGGGAGGCAGCAGUGAGGAAUAUUGGUCAAUGGACGGAAGUCUGAACCAGCCAAGUCGCGUGAAGGAUGAAGGUCCUAUGGAUUGUAAACUUCUUUUGUCUGAGGGUAAAAAAGCGGACGUGUCCGUUCUUGCAAGUAUCAGACGAAUAAGCAUCGGCUAACUCCGUGCCAGCAGCCGCGGUAAUACGGAGGAUGCGAGCGUUAUCCGGAUUUAUUGGGUUUAAAGGGUGCGUAGGCGGGUUGCUAAGUCAGUGGUAAAAGCGUGUGGCUCAACCAUACCAAGCCAUUGAAACUGGCGAUCUUGAGUGCAAACGAGGUAGGCGGAAUGUGACGUGUAGCGGUGAAAUGCUUAGAUAUGUCACAGAACCCCGAUUGCGAAGGCAGCUUACCAGCAUGCAACUGACGCUGAGGCACGAAAGCGUGGGGUAUCAAACAGGAUUAGAUAC